CGUGCCAGCAGCCGCGGUAAGACAGAGGGUGCAAACGUUGCUCGGAAUUACUGGGCGUAAAGGGCGCGUAGGCGGCUCUGUAAGUCAGGCGUUGAAAUUCCCGGGCUCAACCUGGGGACUGCGCUUGAGACUGUGGGGCUAGAGGAUGGAAGAGGGUCGUGGAAUUCCCAGUGUAGAGGUGAAAUUCGUAGAUAUUGGGAAGAACACCGGUGGCGAAGGCGGCGACCUGGUCCAUUACUGACGCUGAGGCGCGACAGCGUGGGGAGCAAACAGGAUUAGAUACCCUGGUAGUCCACGCCGUAAACGAUGUGCGCUGGAUGUUGGGGCCCUUAGGGUCUCAGUGUCGUAGCUAACGCGGUAAGCGCACCGCC
This 371-nucleotide ribosomal RNA is filed under the name uncultured Acetobacteraceae bacterium. RNAcentral describes it as "bacterial SSU rRNA". It matches the Rfam family "Bacterial small subunit ribosomal RNA", at positions 504 to 873 of the family's 1533-position model. Lineage: Bacteria; Pseudomonadati; Pseudomonadota; Alphaproteobacteria; Acetobacterales; Acetobacteraceae. The record is from RNAcentral.